This 1726-nucleotide ribosomal RNA is filed under the name Pinus taeda (loblolly pine). RNAcentral describes it as "SSU rRNA". It matches the Rfam family "Eukaryotic small subunit ribosomal RNA". Lineage: Eukaryota; Viridiplantae; Streptophyta; Pinopsida; Pinales; Pinaceae. The record is from RNAcentral.
CCUGGUUGAUCCUUCUAGUAGUCAUAUGCUUGUCUCAAAUAUUAAGCCAUGCAUGUUUAAGUAUGAACUAAUUCAGACUGUGAAACUGCAAAUGGCUCAUUAAAUCAGUUAUAGUUUUUUUGAUGGUACCAUACUACUCAGAUAACCAUAGUAAUUCUAGAGCUAAUACGUGCACCAAGUCCAGACUCUUUGGAAGGGAUGCCAUUUUUAGAUAAAAGGAUGGCGUGGGCUUGCCUGCUUCUCCGAUGAAUCAUGAUAAAUCGAUGGAUUGCAUAGCCCUUGUGUUGGCGAUGCUUCAUUCAAAUUUGUACCCAUCAACUUUUGAUGGUAGGAUAGAGGCCUACCAUGGUGGUGAUGAGUGACGGAGAAUUAGGGUUCGAUUAUGGAGAGGGAGCUUGAGAAAUGGCUACCAUAUCCAAGGAGGGCAAUAGGUGUGCAAAUUACCCAAUCUUGACAUGGGGAGGUAGUGACAAUAAAUAACAAUAUUGGGCUCAUCGAGUCUGGUAAUUGGAAUGAGUACAAUCUAAAUCCCUUAAAAAGGAUCCAUGGGAGGGCAAGCUUGGUGCUAGCAGCCACGGUAAUUCCAGCUCCAAUAGUGUAUAUUUAAGUUGUUGCAGUUAAAAAGCCCAUAGUUGGAUCUUGGGUCAUAAAGGUCAGUUUUCCUACUCGGUGUGCACCUUCCCUUCUAUCCCUUUUGUUGGUGGUGUGCUCCUAGCCUUAAUUAUCUAGGUCGUAGCUCGGGUGUUGUUAUUUUGAAAAAAUUAGAGUGCUCAAAGAAAACAUAUGCUCUGAAUACAUUAGCAUGGAAUAACGUGAUAGGAGUGUGGUCCUAUUGUGUUGGCCUUUGAGACCGGAGUAAUGAUUUAUAGGGACUGUCGGGGGCAUUCGUAUUUCAUUGUCAGAGGUGAAAUUCUUGGAUUUAUGAAAGACAAACCACUGCAAAAGCAUUUCCCAAUAAUGCUGACCAGGGAUCAGUGAAUGUUGCUCUAAGGACUCUACCAACACCUUCUAAGAAAUCAGAGUGUUUGGGUUCUCGGGGAGUAUGGUCGCAAAUAUGAAACAUAAAGGAAUUGAUGAAAGGGCACCACCAAGAGUGGAGCCUAUGGCUUAAUUUGAAUCAACAUGGGGAAACUUACCACGUCUAGACAUAGUAAGGAUUUAUAGAUUGAGAGCUCUUUCUUGAUUAUAUGGGUGGUGGUGCAUGGCCAUUCUUAGUUGGUGGAGCAAUUUGUCUAGUUAAUUCCAAUAAUGAACAAGACCUUAGCCUGCUAACUAGCUACGUGGAGGUUCCCCUUCGUGGCUAGCUUCUUAGAGGGACUAUGGCCAUUUAGGCCAUGGAAUUUUGAGGAAAUAAUAGGUCUGUGAUGUUCUUAGAUGUUUUAGGCCACACGCGUGCUACAAUGAUGUAGCCAACGAGUUUUUCUUCCUGGUUCGAGAGGAUCAGGAAAUCUUCUCAAAUUGCAUCAUGAUGGGGAUAGACCAUUGCAAUUAUUGGUCUUCAAUGAGGAAUUCCUAGUAAGCGCAUGUCAUCAACUCAUGUUGACUACAUCCCUACCCUUUGUACACACCACUUGUCACUCCUACUGAUUGAAUGAUCUGGUGAAGUGUUCGAAUUGUGUCGACGAUGGCGGUUCACCACCAUCAACGUCGUGAGAAGUUCAUUGAACCUUAUCAUUUAGAUGAAGGAGAAGUUGUAACAAGGUUAUUGUAGGUGAAGCUGCAGUAG